UCUGAGGCUGGCAGGCAGGGCGUAUACUCAGGGGUGACGGCUGCCUGGGGAAGCAGGUGAAGACCCCUGCCGGGGGUCCAUUCCUGCACUGUCGCGCAACGGUAAACGCUGGCCCUUUGAGGCCGGCGCAAAGUCCGAACACCGGUCCCGUCCGUGUCUUCUGG
Molecule: non-coding RNA, 164 nt
Organism: Deinococcus deserti VCD115
Lineage: Bacteria; Thermotogati; Deinococcota; Deinococci; Deinococcales; Deinococcaceae
Source: Rfam